This 302-nucleotide ribosomal RNA is filed under the name uncultured bacterium. RNAcentral describes it as "partial 16S ribosomal RNA". It matches the Rfam family "Bacterial small subunit ribosomal RNA", at positions 508 to 807 of the family's 1533-position model. The record is from RNAcentral.
GCAGUAGCCGCGGGAAUACGAAGGGUGCAAGCGUUACUCGGAAUUACUGGGCGUAAAGCGUGCGUAGGCGGUGGUUUAAGUCCGUUGUGAAAGCCCUGGGCUCAACCUGGGAAUUGCAGUGGAUACUGGGUCACUAGAGUGUGGUAGAGGAUAGUGGAAUUUCCGGUGUAGCAGUGAAAUGCGUAGAGAUCGGAAGGAACAUCUGUGGCGAAGGCGACUAUCUGGGCCAACACUGACACUGAGGCACGAAAGCGUGGGGAGCAAACAGGAUUAGAUACCCGCGUAGUCCCUGUCUCUUAUAC